RNAcentral lists this long non-coding RNA (956 nucleotides) under Canis lupus familiaris (dog). RNAcentral's name for it is "lncRNA (ENSCAFG00040007224.1)". Lineage: Eukaryota; Metazoa; Chordata; Mammalia; Carnivora; Canidae. The record is from RNAcentral.
AGUAGAAGGAAUGGAAUAACAUUAAUUGCAAAAUACAAACUAUAAGACUUUUCCAAGGAUAACAACAUUGCAGAAAUUCUAGAUUGCUUUGGGUUUGGUGAUGAUUUUUUAGAUAUAACACCAAAAGCACAAUCCAUGAAAGAAAAAAAAUUUAAUAAGUUAGACUUCAUUAAAAUUAAAAUCUUCAGCUUUGUCACAGAUACUGCAAAGAGAAUGUAAAGAUAUCCACUUCCUGAGAGAAAAUCUUUGCAAAAACAUACCUGAUAAAGGAUUGGUAUCCAAAAUAUUCUAAGAACUUUAAAAAUUCAACAAUAAGACAACAGAGAAUCCAAUUAAAAAAUGGGUCAAAGGUUUGAACAGAAUUCGUCAUUGCUGGUAGUGGUGUGUGUGUGUGUGGGGGGGGGGUGGUUCUUUUCUCUAAAAAGGCUUUCUUCUUUAUUAAAAAAUGAUGCAAAUAAGGACCAUUCUUCCCCAGGUCUUGGAUAUUGCUGUAUGAAGAGGAGAUGCUCAGACCUUUUCCAUCUGCCUUGCAGUCAUGAGGAGACAACUAUUGUAAAUGAACAGAAAUCAAAGAGAAGGCAAGACUGCACACCCUGAAACUUCUUAUCAUCUGUAAUUAGCUCCUCAUGAGGAGAGUCCUAUCAGAGCCAAGAUAUGCUGAGCCCAACUCACACCGGACUCACACCGGCUCCUGCGUGGAGAUCGUGGAGAUCCAGGGAGGGCAGCCUCACAGAUGAUGUAUUUAUGAGAACUGAUCGUGCUCCCGUGGAACAGAGAACACUAGCACAGAGAGCACUGGGUCCGUGCACAGUAGGUUUUGGAGAGAAUAACAUGUAUUUUGACUCAAUAAAUGCUGCUUGUUUAGGUGUUUAGGUAACUGUGUUUUGGAUGUAAGCUCCUGUCAUGGCACUUAGCAGCCUGGACUGGAAUCACAGGUUUUCUGCUGACAUUGAGGU